GCAAAAUGAGAAUAUGUUAGGCCUGGC
RNAcentral lists this non-coding RNA (27 nucleotides) under Homo sapiens (human). Lineage: Eukaryota; Metazoa; Chordata; Mammalia; Primates; Hominidae. The record is from RNAcentral.